RNAcentral lists this ribosomal RNA (1387 nucleotides) under Legionella pneumophila. RNAcentral's name for it is "partial 23S ribosomal RNA". It matches the Rfam family "Bacterial large subunit ribosomal RNA", at positions 1557 to 2925 of the family's 2925-position model. RNAcentral also lists the same sequence under 1 other name. The record is from RNAcentral. Lineage: Bacteria; Pseudomonadati; Pseudomonadota; Gammaproteobacteria; Legionellales; Legionellaceae.
UGAGGUGCGAAGUGGUUCUGACCUUUUGGUACAGAGAAGUCAUUGAUGCCCGGCUUCCAGGAAAAGCUGCUAGCCAUAACUUAUAGAGAACCGUACCGCAAACCGACACAGGUGGACAGGUAGAGAAUACUAAGGCGCUUGAGAGAACUCGGGUGAAGGAACUAGGCAAAAUGGUACCGUAACUUCGGGAGAAGGUACGCCCUUUCUGGUGAUGGGAUUUACUUUCAGAGCUGGAGAGGGCCGCAGAGACCAGGUGGCUGCGACUGUUUAUUAAAAACACAGCACUCUGCAAAUUCGUAAGAAGACGUAUAGGGUGUGACGCCUGCCCGGUGCCGGAAGGUUAAUUGAUGGGGUUAUCUUCGGAGAAGCUCUUGAUCGAAGCCCCGGUAAACGGCGGCCGUAACUAUAACGGUCCUAAGGUAGCGAAAUUCCUUGUCGGGUAAGUUCCGACCUGCACGAAUGGCGUAACGAUGGCCACACUGUCUCCACCCGAGACUCAGUGAAAUUGAAAUCGCUGUGAAGAUGCAGUGUACCCGCGGCUAGACGGAAAGACCCCGUGAACCUUUACUAUAGUUUUGCACUGGACUUUGAUGAUGACUGUGUAGGAUAGGUGGGAGGCUGUGAAGUGAGGACGCUAGUUCUCAUGGAGCCGCCCUUGAAAUACCACCCUGUUGUUAUUGAGGUUCUAACUUGGUCCAGUAAUCCUGGAUGAGGACAGUGUAUGAUGGGUAGUUUGACUGGGGCGGUCUCCUCCCAAAGAGUAACGGAGGAGCACAAAGGUACCCUCGGUACGGUCGGACAUCGUACCAAGAGUGUAAAGGCAAAAGGGUGCUUGACUGCGAGAGUGACGGCUCGAGCAGGAACGAAAGUUGGUCUUAGUGAUCCGGUGGUUCUGAAUGGAAGGGCCAUCGCUCAACGGAUAAAAGGUACUCCGGGGAUAACAGGCUGAUACCGCCCAAGAGUUCAUAUCGACGGCGGUGUUUGGCACCUCGAUGUCGGCUCAUCACAUCCUGGGGCUGAAGCAGGUCCCAAGGGUAUGGCUGUUCGCCAUUUAAAGUGGUACGCGAGCUGGGUUUAGAACGUCGUGAGACAGUUCGGUCCCUAUCUGCCGUGGGCGUAGGAAAAUUGAGAGGAGCUGCUCCUAGUACGAGAGGACCGGAGUGGACGAACCUCUGGUGCACCGGUUGUCACGCCAGUGGCAUGGCCGGGUAGCUAAGUUCGGACGGGAUAACCGCUGAAAGCAUCUAAGCGGGAAGCCUCCCUCAAGAUGAGUUUUCCCAUGAAGCCCGUUGAAGACUACGACGUUGAUAGGCAAGGUGUGGAAGCGCAGUAAUGCGUGAAGCUAACUUGUACUAAUUGGCUGAUUGUCUUGACCAUAUAAUCUGAG